GAGAGCCCUCGCUGGCUAUGCAAGGCUGGGAGACUCGAUGAGGCAAAAAAAGUCAUCAAUAACUUAUGGGGUUCAUCAGAAGUAGAUAAAGCUAUCAAAGAAUUUGAGUCUGUCCUAAAGAAUGAUGGGGAUGACUUGAACAGCAGUUGGCUGGAGCUCCUAGAGGAACCACACUCGAGAGGUUGUAUGAAGUUGCUACCAUUGGAGGUGCCUUGUUUGUACUUCAACAGCUUGCUGGUAUAAAUGGAGUUCUCUACUUUUCAUCCUUGACUUUCAAAGAUGUUGGGAUCUCAAGCAGCGCUUUAGCAAGCUUAUAUGUGGGACUGACCAAUUUUGCAGGUGCACUAUGUGCUUUAUACUUGAUGGAUAAGCAGGGGAGG
This 380-nucleotide unclassified non-coding RNA is filed under the name Hevea brasiliensis (rubber tree). Lineage: Eukaryota; Viridiplantae; Streptophyta; Magnoliopsida; Malpighiales; Euphorbiaceae. The record is from RNAcentral.